AUUGAACGCUGGCGGCAGGCCUAACACAUGCAAGUCGAGCGGAUGAAGGGAGCUUGCUCCUGGAUUCAGCGGCGGACGGGUGAGUAAUGCCUAGGAAUCUGCCUGGUAGUGGGGGAUAACGUCCGGAAACGGGCGCUAAUACCGCAUACGUCCUGAGGGAGAAAGUGGGGGAUCUUCGGACCUCACGCUAUCAGAUGAGCCUAGGUCGGAUUAGCUAGUUGGUGGGGUAAAGGCCUACCAAGGCGACGAUCCGUAACUGGUCUGAGAGGAUGAUCAGUCACACUGGAACUGAGACACGGUCCAGACUCCUACGGGAGGCAGCAGUGGGGAAUAUUGGAUAAUGGGCGAAAGCCUGAUCCAGCCAAGCCGCGUGUGUGAAGAAGGUCUUCGGAUUGUAAAGCACUUUAAGUUGGGAGGAAGGGCAGUAAGUUAAUACCUUGCUGUUUUGACGUUACCAACAGAAUAAGCACCGGCUAACUUCGUG
This 484-nucleotide ribosomal RNA is filed under the name uncultured bacterium. RNAcentral's name for it is "partial 16S ribosomal RNA". It matches the Rfam family "Bacterial small subunit ribosomal RNA", at positions 30 to 507 of the family's 1533-position model. The record is from RNAcentral.